RNAcentral lists this long non-coding RNA (1105 nucleotides) under Urocitellus parryii (Arctic ground squirrel). RNAcentral describes it as "lncRNA (ENSUPAG00010010034.1)". Lineage: Eukaryota; Metazoa; Chordata; Mammalia; Rodentia; Sciuridae. The record is from RNAcentral.
CAGUCCCCAAGGAUCGUCCAGUGUCUUGCCACAGACCUCGUCACCACAGGCCAUGCCACAUACACGUCACUCCUCAUUAUGCAGGUCGAGUGGCUGCGGGACCGGUCACUUAAUGGGGGCGGAGAUGCAAAGUACACCCGAGUCAUCUUAGGUUCAACUGUGUCACGCUGUGUUGGGGCUGGCGGGGUGGCCUGGUGACCAGGGCAGGCUCGCAGGCCGGGGCACCACCCCCAGGACGGCAAGAAGACACCAAGACCAAGAGGCGGUGGCCCAGCGGGGGUUAGGGUGACCAGCGCUCCCUUGGCCCUGGCGGCUGGGACACCAUCACCCUAACUUCUGGGGUUCUGCGCGGCGUCCCCGUCCCCGCCGGCCACCUCCAGAACUGUUCCCGCCCCAAACGAAACCGCCGCGAGGAGCCCCGCCCCGCCCUGGCGCCCUGCUGCUUCCUCCUUGGAGGUCGCGGGCGGGGACCUGGGGGAGGUCGGUGCCCGCGCGCGGCCCUGGGUCCAGAAUCGCAGGGGGAGCAGGUCUCCUCGGCUCCCUGUCCUCCUGUCCUCGGGUCCCCUGCCCUCCGUCCCCCGUGGGGCGGGACCACGUGGCGGUGCGCGCCGGGGACUUUCCCCUGAGGGCGCGGAGGCGGAGCGCACCCUGCCCAGASGCAGAAGGGGCGGCGCCUCUCCCGAGAGGCCACCGCGGCCACCCACAGGACCCAGGGCCACCACCGUGGCCACCCCGUGGACCAAGGACCAGCACCAGGGCCGCGGCCUGGGAAGAAGGCCCUGUCCGAGGGGCCACAGUCCGGGACCUCAGACCUCCCGGAACACUCGCUCUGCUCCUCACGACCCGGCGGGCCGCCCGCUCCUUAUGGCCGCACACAAAGGACAGGGACGGCUCUGGCUCCUGGGAGCUCACAGGUGUGCCGGGCGGCAUCCCCUUGGUGAACUGGCCUGAGGUGAGUCGCAGCCACUGACUGACCUGAGGUCUAAGUGGCUCCCGGUUUUCAAGUCCCUUUCUCCUCUGCCCCCCCACAGCACCCCCUGGCUCCCACCUCCCUUGGGGUCAAAGCCCCCAUCCUCCCUGUGACCCCCAGGCCCUGUCCUCCCUG